Molecule: small nuclear RNA, 18 nt
Filed under: Arabidopsis thaliana (thale cress)
Lineage: Eukaryota; Viridiplantae; Streptophyta; Magnoliopsida; Brassicales; Brassicaceae
Description: snRNA_17822
Source: RNAcentral
CCAAUAGGGAACGUGAGC